CCUACGGGGGGCUGCAGUGGGGAAUAUUGGACAAUGGGGGGAACCCUGAUCCAGCCAUGCCGCGUGUGUGAAGAAGGCCCUCGGGUUGUAAAGCACUUUCAGUGAGGAAGAACGCCUGGUGGUUAAUACCCAUCAGGAAAGACAUCACUCACAGAAGAAGCACCGGCUAACUCCGUGCCAGCAGCCGAGGUAAUACGGAGGGUGCGAGCGUUAAUCGGAAUUACUGGGCGUAAAGCGCGCGUAGGUGGCUUGAUAAGCCGGUUGUGAAAGCCCCGGGCUCAACCUGGGAACGGCAUCCGGAACUGUCAAGCUAGAGUGCAGGAGAGGAAGGUAGAAUUCCCGGUGUAGCGGUGAAAUGCGUAGAGAUCGGGAGGAAUACCAGUGGCGAAGGAGGCCUUCUGGACUGACACUGACACUGAGGUGCGAGAGCGUGGGUAGCAAACAGGAUUAGAUACCCGAGUAGGC
This 465-nucleotide ribosomal RNA is filed under the name Vreelandella stevensii. RNAcentral describes it as "partial 16S ribosomal RNA". It matches the Rfam family "Bacterial small subunit ribosomal RNA", at positions 338 to 795 of the family's 1533-position model. The record is from RNAcentral. Lineage: Bacteria; Pseudomonadati; Pseudomonadota; Gammaproteobacteria; Oceanospirillales; Halomonadaceae.